CGGAGGUGGUUGCGGGCGCGCGCGGGGGCGGGGAAGCAGCUGCACGGGGGACGGCCGGCGAGCGCAAGCGGCGGGGGAGGAGCAGCGUGUAGGCGGCGUGCAGCGGAGCGGCGCGCGGGCGGGCGGCGGCGGCAGGGGAAGCAGCAGCCCGGGCGGUGCCGCUCCACUGCCUUCUCCAUCCUUCUCCGCCGGCAGGGAGAACAGCUCGCCGCCGCCGGCGAGUUCGAGGACGAAGUCGACCGCUACUGGCCGCCCUCCCCAGACAAGAGGGAGAGAGGAGGAGGAAGGGAGCAGCGAUCCUGCUCCUCGUCACCGUCAGGCUCCCUGCUGGCGUCAUGCAGGGGCAAGAGGAGGGCCGCCCCGGAAGAGUCGCUGUCGGGGAGCGCCAAGGCGAUUAUCGCGGCCGCAUCAAUGUUCGAUAUGAUGGACGACGAGGUGGCGUCGACGACAGCGUGGGGGCGCGGCAAAACUGACGCGGCUGAGGCGGCGUCGGAGCUGGAGCUCAAGAUCAUGUGCUCCUGGUUCUACAGUAGCGGCUUCUAG
RNAcentral lists this long non-coding RNA (543 nucleotides) under Oryza sativa tropical japonica subgroup. RNAcentral describes it as "lncRNA OsCMeo_09g0014920". Lineage: Eukaryota; Viridiplantae; Streptophyta; Magnoliopsida; Poales; Poaceae. The record is from RNAcentral.